RNAcentral lists this ribosomal RNA (497 nucleotides) under uncultured bacterium. RNAcentral's name for it is "partial 16S ribosomal RNA". It matches the Rfam family "Bacterial small subunit ribosomal RNA", at positions 28 to 507 of the family's 1533-position model. The record is from RNAcentral.
GACGAACGCUGGCGGCGUGCCUAAUACAUGCAAGUUGAGCGCUGAAGGUUGGUACUUGUACCAACUGGAUGAGCAGCGAACGGGUGAGUAACGCGUGGGGAAUCUGCCUUUGAGCGGGGGACAACAUUUGGAAACGAAUGCUAAUACCGCAUAAAAACUUUAAACACAAGUUUUAAGUUUGAAAGAUGCAAUUGCAUCACUCAAAGAUGAUCCCGCGUUGUAUUAGCUAGUUGGUGAGGUAAAGGCUCACCAAGGCGAUGAUACAUAGCCGACCUGAGAGGGUGAUCGGCCACAUUGGGACUGAGACACGGCCCAAACUCCUACGGGAGGCAGCAGUAGGGAAUCUUCGGCAAGGGACGAAAGUCUGACCGAGCAACGCCGCGUGAGGGAAGAAGGUUUUCGGAUCGUAAAACUCUGUUGGUAGAGAAGAACGUUGGUGAGAGUGGAAAGCUCAUCAAGUGACGGUAACUACCCAGAAAGGGACGGUUAACUACGUG